GUUAUACUUCCUUCGUCCCAAAAAGCGCGACUUAGAUUUGUCUAGAUAGAGAUGUAUCUAAACACGUUUUAGUGUUAGAUUCAUCUGUAUCUAGAUAAAUCUAAGACAAACUUUUUGGGACGGAGGUAAUAGAAC
This 135-nucleotide microRNA precursor is filed under the name Hordeum vulgare. RNAcentral describes it as "microRNA MIR1122". It matches the Rfam family "MIR1120/MIR1122 microRNA precursor family". Lineage: Eukaryota; Viridiplantae; Streptophyta; Magnoliopsida; Poales; Poaceae. The record is from RNAcentral.